GAUGAACGCUGGCGGCGUGCUUAACGCAUGCAAGUCGAACGAGAAGUGAAGACGGAAACCUUCGGGCGGAAGGCUUUAUUUCGAGUGGCGGACGGGUGAGUAACGCGUGGGUAACCUGCCUCAUACAGGGGGAUAACAGUUGGAAACGACUGUUAAUACCGCAUAAGACCACAGCACCGCAUGGUGCGGGGGUAAAAACUCCGGUGGUAUGAGAUGGACCCGCGUUCGAUUAGCCAGUUGGCGGGGUAACGGCCCACCAAAGCGACGAUCGAUAGCCGAUCUGAGAGGAUGACCGGCCACAUUGGGACUGAGACACGGCCCAAACUCCUACGGGAGGCAGCAGUGGGGAAUAUUGCACAAUGGGGGAAACCCUGAUGCAGCGACGCCGCGUGAGUGAAGAAGUAUUUCGGUAUGUAAAGCUCUAUCAGCAGGGAAGAAAAUGACGGUACCUGAGUAAGAAGCCCCGGCUAACUACGCG
Molecule: ribosomal RNA, 478 nt
Filed under: uncultured bacterium
Lineage: Bacteria
Description: partial 16S ribosomal RNA
Rfam family: Bacterial small subunit ribosomal RNA
Source: RNAcentral